UAGAGAGGUCCUUGGUGGGAGGUGAACGAAAAUCCUAAGUGUUCUAAGUGUGGAGACUGACUUGGUCUAGCAAGGAGGAGAAGAAUUGCUCUCUUGGAAGAAGAGAGAUUUAAGUUAGAAUUUUCCUUGAAAUUGAAAGUGAAAACAAGCAAAGGUGGUGGUCUAGAGGUAUCAAGAGUGAAGAAUUUCUUUCAAGGAGAAGAGAAACUAUUUCAGAUGAAUUAGCAGAUGGUUCUGAAAAUGCUUAGAAGAUGAGAGAUCUGCGGGGAAAAGGAGACAUGGGGAAUUUCUAAAAUAGAUCUAUGUUUGAAUUUCCGAACUGUGUGAAAUUUUAAAUUUCAGAAGUUUAUGAACUGUGUGGACUUUUAUUUUCAGAAGACUUGUGUUGUAAUAAAGAACUUAAUAUUUUAUGGGUGC
This 417-nucleotide small RNA is filed under the name Vigna angularis var. angularis. RNAcentral's name for it is "Non-protein coding transcript". Lineage: Eukaryota; Viridiplantae; Streptophyta; Magnoliopsida; Fabales; Fabaceae. The record is from RNAcentral.